Molecule: long non-coding RNA, 203 nt
Filed under: Capsicum annuum
Lineage: Eukaryota; Viridiplantae; Streptophyta; Magnoliopsida; Solanales; Solanaceae
Description: long non-coding RNA (CANN_LNC006605)
Source: RNAcentral
AAAACUGGAAUGUAGUUUAAGGCCUAGCACGAUGCGAUAACAUGCUCAUCGCUAUAUAGGGCACAACGUGAUGCAAUCGUAGUGAGCUACUGGAAUCCAAAUCUAAACACAACCCAAUCCUUGUCCGAAAAAUUCAAAACUUCCCCGAGACAUGCUCCUUACACCCCUGAACAUGAAUCAACUCAAAAACCAUCAUCCUGGGG